CCCCCUUUCUUUCUUUCCCCC
This 21-nucleotide unclassified non-coding RNA is filed under the name synthetic construct. The record is from RNAcentral.